GCAGUGGUUGUUCAGUGGUAGAAUUUUCACCUUUCAAGCGGGAGAAGUGGGUUCGAUUCCUGGCCAAUGUA
Molecule: transfer RNA, 71 nt
Filed under: Loxodonta africana (African savanna elephant)
Lineage: Eukaryota; Metazoa; Chordata; Mammalia; Proboscidea; Elephantidae
Rfam family: tRNA
About the family: Transfer RNA (tRNA) molecules are approximately 80 nucleotides in length. Their secondary structure includes four short double-helical elements and three loops (D, anti-codon, and T loops).
Source: Rfam by way of RNAcentral